Camellia sinensis is the source of this 847-nucleotide non-coding RNA. NCBI's taxonomy places the organism in Eukaryota, Viridiplantae, Streptophyta, Magnoliopsida, Ericales, Theaceae. The record is from RefSeq and is a predicted model, not a curated record.
AGUUUUCUAUCUCUAUGUAUAUAUAAUGACUAUUUUAAUAUAAUACCUUUGUUCAUAUAAUGAGAAGGGUAAAAUUGUUUUUUUAGGACUUUACAUUUUUUAGGAAUGUUCUGUCACUUGGUUUGUUGCACGAGGAGCAAUUAACAAAUAGCAUUCACACAAUCAGUUGGUGUGGAAUCCACUUCAAUGAUUAUAUAAUGGAUAUUUUAUUUAAUAGCAUCGGUACCCAAUUUGUAUACAUAUCAUCGGUACCCAAUUUCUUGCUCACUGUAAAACUAAUGAGUGUUUUUUUGAGGGGUAUAAAUAUGUACUCUAUUCUCUGUUAGUUGCAAUAUUGAUCUUUUGCCAAUACUUAACAUGUGAAAUUCAACGGUGCAAUACUUAAUUGCUGUGGUGCUACCAGAUUGGUGGAGAAAGCUUGAGAAUUUAUUUACCAUUUAAAGAUCGAAGGAAAAGCUCUAUUCAUCCUCCAUGUAGAAGAGGAAAAGAAUAGCGUACUGCUUUUAAUCCUCAAAGAAGAACCAUCCUAAAAUUCCUAAUAAAAUAAUUGUGAAAGGCCAGUUAGAACUAUUGGGUGCAUUUGAUAUUGAAGAUAAAGCCUCUGAAAUUUGAUGUGAGCCCAAAUCAAGUGACAAGAAACAAUAUCAGAAGUGAAAAGAAAGAAGAUAUUUGAUGCGGUUUCAGUACUUCUGGUUGUUUUUCUAUUGAAUUUGAGCAAUGUUGAUGCCCAAAAAGCGCGUGUUUUGGACUACUUUGAGUACUCUGCUAUGAGCUGCAGAGCUCACAGCGCCAGCUUAACAGAUUUUGGAGGAGUUGGUGAUAGAAGCAUCUUCAAUACAGAGGCAUU